Molecule: long non-coding RNA, 563 nt
Filed under: Neogobius melanostomus (round goby)
Lineage: Eukaryota; Metazoa; Chordata; Actinopteri; Gobiiformes; Gobiidae
Description: lncRNA (ENSNMLG00000006203.1)
Source: RNAcentral
ACCUGUGCCUGCUCCGUCCGGGAGGCUACACCUGUGCCUGUCCUGAAGGCACCAGCUUUGUACCCGGCAGCAACACCGAAUGUGACACAGGGUUCGAGCCUCCUCCCACUAUGCCCCCACCAUGUCAGUGUCAAAACGGCGGCACAUGCUACUUUGACGACAAUAACGCCCUUUGCAAUUGCCCUGCCGCAUGGUUUGGGCAAUUUUGUGAAAUUAGCAAAUCCGGCCUGUUGGCUACAUCAGCUGGAAUCGCCAUCGGAGUCACUGUGCUGAUAAUUGUCCUGCUUGUUGCGUUUGUUUACUCUGCUCGCAAGAAGCCUGACCUCAUUGAAAGGUUACGGGCCAGUCUUCCCAGCAUGCCCUCAAUGCCCUCCAUGCCCUCCAUGCCCUCCAUGCCAAAUCUGUCACGCUUCAGAAAUGAUUCACCUUCUGAUAACGCGAGGACAGAGAUGAAUGCCAGCAGUGUGAAUGCUGCUGAAGCGGUGCCAGUGCUCAAUCUGUCAGGAGGGGACAAGAGUUUUGAGAACCCAGCCUAUGAAGCUGAAACACAGCCUUCUGCAUCG